Molecule: ribosomal RNA, 928 nt
Filed under: uncultured bacterium
Lineage: Bacteria
Description: bacterial SSU rRNA
Rfam family: Bacterial small subunit ribosomal RNA
Source: RNAcentral
AGAGUUGAUCCUGGCUCAGAACGAACGUUAGCGGCGCGCCUAACACAUGCAAGUCGCACGAGAAAGGGCUUCGGCCCCGGUACAGUGGCGCACGGGUGAGUAACACGUAGGUAAUCUGCCCUUGAGUGGUGGAUAACCCUCCGAAAGGAGGGCUAAUACAGCAUGAGACCACGGUGUCUACGGACACAGCGGUCAAAGUGGGCCUCUUCAUGAAAGCUCACGCUUGAGGAUGAACCUGCGGCCCAUCAGCUAGUUGGUAGGGUAAUGGCCUACCAAGGCAAAGACGGGUAGCUGGUCUGAGAGGAUGAACAGCCACACUGGAACUGAGACACGGUCCAGACUCCUACGGGAGGCAGCAGUGGGGAAUCUUGCACAAUGGGCGAAAGCCUGAUGCAGCGACGCCGCGUGAGCGAUGAAGGCCUUCGGGUUGUAAAGCUCUGUGGGGAGGGACGAAUAUGCGUUGGCUAAUAUCCAACGUGAUGACGGUACCUCCUUAGCAAGCACCGGCUAACUCUGUGCCAGCAGCCGCGGUAAGACAGAGGGUGCAAACGUUGUUCGGAAUCACUGGGCGUAAAGCGCGUGUAGGCGGCUACGUAAGUCGGACGUGAAAUCCCACGGCUCAACCGUGGAAGAGCGCUCGAAACUGUGUAGCUUGAGUCCUGGAGAGGAAGACGGAAUACUUGGUGUAGAGGUGAAAUUCGUAGAUAUCAGGUAGAACACCAGUGGCGAAGGCGGUCUUCUGGACAGUGACUGACGCUGAGACGCGAAAGCGUGGGGAGCAAACAGGAUUAGAUACCCUGGUAGUCCACGCCGUAAACGAUGAGUGCUAGGUGUCACGGGCUUUGACCCUCGUGGUGCCGAAGCUAACGCGUUAAGCACUCCGCCUGGGGAGUACGGCCGCAAGGCUAAAACUCAAAGGAAUUGACGG